RNAcentral lists this ribosomal RNA (515 nucleotides) under uncultured bacterium. RNAcentral's name for it is "bacterial SSU rRNA". It matches the Rfam family "Bacterial small subunit ribosomal RNA", at positions 1 to 507 of the family's 1533-position model. The record is from RNAcentral.
AGCCGGCGUCAAGCAGAAACAACAUUAACACAAUGGUUCAGAUCAAGGUUUCUGCUUCACGCUCAUUAAGUGCCAACACAUAUAGCAGGGUCUGAGUAUUGAAUGUUAAAUGUCGGACAGCGGCGGACGGGUGAGUAACGCGUGGGCAACCUGCCUUUUACUGGGGGAUAACACAGGGAAACUUGUGCUAAUACCGCAUGACAUCACAUGGGGCAUCCCGUGUGAUCAAAGGAGUAAUCCGGUAAAAGAUGGGCCCGCGUCCGAUUAGCUAGUUGGUGAGGUAACGGCCCACCAAGGCGACGAUCGGUAGCCGGACUGAGAGGUUGGCCGGCCACAUUGGGACUGAGACACGGCCCAGACUCCUACGGGAGGCAGCAGUGGGGAAUAUUGCGCAAUGGGGGAAACCCUGACGCAGCGACGCCGCGUGAAGGAUGAAGGCCUUCGGGUUGUAAACUUCUUUGAUGAGGGACGAAUAAAUGACGGUACCUCAAAAACAAGCCACGGCUAACUACGUG